GGUCCGGCCGGGAACUCAAAGGAGACUGCCAGUGAUAAACUGGAGGAAGGUGGGGAUGACGUCAAGUCAUCAUGGCCCUUACGACCAGGGCUACACACGUGCUACAAUGGCGCAUACAAAGAGAAGCGACCUCGCGAGAGCAAGCGGACCUCAUAAAGUGCGUCGUAGUCCGGAUUGGAGUCUGCAACUCGACUCCAUGAAGUCGGAAUCGCUAGUAAUCGUGGAUCAGAAUGCCACGGUGAAUACGUUCCCGGGCCUUGUACACACCGCCCGUCACACCAUGGGAGUGGGUUGCAAAAGAAGUAGGUAGCUUAACCUUCGGGAGGGCGCUUACCACUUUGUGAUUCAUGACUGGGGUGAAGUCGUAACAAGGUAACCGUAGGGGAACCUGCGGUUGGAUCAC
Molecule: ribosomal RNA, 403 nt
Filed under: Escherichia coli
Lineage: Bacteria; Pseudomonadati; Pseudomonadota; Gammaproteobacteria; Enterobacterales; Enterobacteriaceae
Description: bacterial SSU rRNA
Rfam family: Bacterial small subunit ribosomal RNA
Source: RNAcentral